RNAcentral lists this ribosomal RNA (1454 nucleotides) under Priestia megaterium. RNAcentral describes it as "bacterial SSU rRNA". It matches the Rfam family "Bacterial small subunit ribosomal RNA". The record is from RNAcentral. Lineage: Bacteria; Bacillati; Bacillota; Bacilli; Caryophanales; Bacillaceae.
UGCAAGGUCGAGCGAACUGAUUAGAAGCUUGCUUCUAUGACGUUAGCGGCGGACGGGUGAGUAACACGUGGGCAACCUGCCUGUAAGACUGGGAUAACUUCGGGAAACCGAAGCUAAUACCGGAUAGGAUCUUCUCCUUCAUGGGAGAUGAUUGAAAGAUGGUUUCGGCUAUCACUUACAGAUGGGCCCGCGGUGCAUUAGCUAGUUGGUGAGGUAACGGCUCACCAAGGCAACGAUGCAUAGCCGACCUGAGAGGGUGAUCGGCCACACUGGGACUGAGACACGGCCCAGACUCCUACGGGAGGCAGCAGUAGGGAAUCUUCCGCAAUGGACGAAAGUCUGACGGAGCAACGCCGCGUGAGUGAUGAAGGCUUUCGGGUCGUAAAACUCUGUUGUUAGGGAAGAACAAGUACGAGAGUAACUGCUCGUACCUUGACGGUACCUAACCAGAAAGCCACGGCUAACUACGUGCCAGCAGCCGCGGUAAUACGUAGGUGGCAAGCGUUAUCCGGAAUUAUUGGGCGUAAAGCGCGCGCAGGCGGUUUCUUAAGUCUGAUGUGAAAGCCCACGGCUCAACCGUGGAGGGUCAUUGGAAACUGGGGAACUUGAGUGCAGAAGAGAAAAGCGGAAUUCCACGUGUAGCGGUGAAAUGCGUAGAGAUGUGGAGGAACACCAGUGGCGAAGGCGGCUUUUUGGUCUGUAACUGACGCUGAGGCGCGAAAGGCGUGGGGAGCAAACAGGAUUAGAUACCCUGGUAGUCCCACGCCGUAAACGAUGAGUGUUAAGUGUUAGAGGGUUUUCCGCCCUUUAGUGCUGCAGCUAACGCAUUAAGCACUCCGCCUGGGGGAGUACGGUCGCAAGACUGAAACUCAAAGGAAUUGACGGGGGGCCCGCACAAGCCGGUGGGAGCAUGUGGUUUAAUUCGAAGCAACGCGAAGAACCUUACCAGGUAAAAUUUAUGUUUUUUUCCCCUCACGUUAUAGAGCGGGGCCCUUCGGGGGACAAAGAAACAGGUGGUGCAUGGUUGUCGUCAGCUCGUGUCGUGUGGUGCAUGGUUGUCGUCAGCUCGUGUCGUGAGAUGUUGGGUUAAGUCCCGCAACGAGCGCAACCCUUGAUCUUAGUUGCCAGCAUUUAGUUGGGCACUCUAAGGUGACUGCCGGUGACAAACCGGAGGAAGGUGGGGAUGACGUCAAAUCAUCAUGCCCCUUAUGACCUGGGCUACACACGUGCUACAAUGGAUGGUACAAAGGGCUGCAAGACCGCGAGGUCAAGCCCACCCCCUAAAACCAUUCUCAGUUCGGAUUGUAGGCUGCAACUCGCCUACAUGAAGCUGGAAUCGCUAGUAAUCGCGGAUCAGCUUACCGCGGUGAAUACGUUCCCGGGCCUUGUACACACCGCCCGUCACACCACGAGAGUUUGUAACACCCGAAGUCGGUGGAGUAACCGUAAGGAGC